AUAAAUAUCGUUUUCCUUCACAUAUUCUCUUUCUAAUUUUGCUUUUUAACACUACCUUACAAAUGAAUGUAUAUACGUGUCUACGAUAACAGAAAUUUGAUAGAUAACCUCCGCACCCCAUCGAUGACACAAACACUUCAAUUGGAGAUUAUUUUUGACUAAACUAACAGAGACGCAACGAAAAUUUUAAGAAAAAACUGGAAAUUUUACCGGUGAGUGUGUUACAUUAUAAGGCCCAAAAAAGAAAAUGACUCUCCCCAGACACAACAGAAUAAAGAAAAGUAAAACGGAGUAGGUAUAUUUUCUCCUUUACUAUUCGAAUUUUUUAAUUCGUUGUUUCAAAUUUCUUUCUUUCUUUAUUCAUUUCUUAUUUGUUCAUUUUCCUUCAUUCUUUUUACUUUAUGUUUCUUUGUUCUUUUAUUUAUUUAUUUAUUUAUUACGGAGAUGUACUUGCAUAGCAAGUGACCUGAUCUGAGAUCGUGUGCUGGAACGAAAACAAUUGCAGCGUGGAAGGUGUUUAUAAACCAUUUAAGAAACACACGAAAACCGUUCGAUUCACUUCAACAUUUAAAUUUAGUUUCUCAAAAUAUUUUCGUCGCUUUGAGACCGCGACCUGUUCACUGUUGUCCAUUUAUUGGAUCUUUUCUCUUGAACGCCAAGAGAAAAAGAUGUUUUAUAAAUACAGUCUACCAGUAUACGAAGUUUAAAAGUGUUUAGUUAUAAAGAAAUUAUUUUAAAAAUCUGCCGGUCAAACGGAAAAGAUCCUAUUUAGUUAUUUAUUUAUUCUCUGUUGAAUUGUUUGUCGAUUGAGUUUUUUUUCUUUUUUUUUCUAUUCAGGUCUUCCAUACUUUGGCAAACCUAUCACUUUCCAAACUUGUAAAAGUGCUGCAAUUUCAUACGAAACGGCGGCGUGAAACCGAUCUCUGUGAGUCUAUAUAUUUCGCCAAAGCUCGAUUUCUCCGUUUUCGAUGUGGAACUGCGUAACAGAUUUGCAGGAAGACUCGCAGAAGUAGCAGAACCGCCGAGGUGGUCGAUAGAUCUUGCUUGACGGAUACAAACCACGGAUAUUGAUCGAUCGAUCGGAAGAAAAAGAACAACUGAGCGGAAGAAAACAAAUUCGGAUUUUUUUUUAUAUAAAAAAGGGAAUAUCACAGACAAAAUCUCUUCAAUUAACAACGAAAUUAAUUAAACCAAACGGACAAGGUGUGCGGAAGGAACGACCAAGUACUUGUGAACCACCUCAAUCAGGACUGUUGACUGGUGUGGGAGUGUUUGCCAUAUACACCUAUACAUUUCACAUAUAUAUAUAUAUAUACAUUUAUACACAUAUAAACUAUAUACUAUACUAUAUAUAUAUAUAUAUAUAUAUAUAUAUAAGCAACAAGGAUAUCCAAGGUAGAUUUAUAUGGAUAACACCAUACCAAAUUCUGGUGCCUUUGACUUAAGUACCAUAUUCAUCUGAAUCUAAAUUUUGCUGAACUCGUAUAUAUACAUACAUAUAUAUAUAUACGUAGGUUCUCUGUUUCUUUGAUCUCUGAACUGAAGAGGUUUCAAAAGCUAAAAAACCAAGAACACAUCGAUAGGAAUCUGGCAGCUUGGGGAUUAAAAGACAGAGGCAUCCUCGAUGCGAAUGGAAUUGUUGUAACUGAAAUAUCUCCCCGCAAAAAACCUAACAACGACGAUGUAUUGCUUACAGUGGCUCAUACCUGUGUUGCUUAUACCGAAACCAUUGAACCCAGCUUUCAUCUAUAACCAUGCCAUGUUCAUGGUGCUCUACCUCACCAGUUUCUUCUUAGAAAGGAAACCCUGCACGAUAUGCAGUGUGGUCUUUCUAGCUGCUGUCUUUCUCAUAUGCUACAGUUGUGUGGGGAACUGCAUGUUUUGGCACUGUCCCACAGAUGACUGCCAAGGGGUAGGAUGUACCGAACGUUGACAACCCCCAGGAGUCGUCGUCUUUACUCCUCAUAAAGAAUUAUAUAUAUAUAUAUACAUAUAAACAAAAAGGAAAAAAAAAAAAACCCAUUUAAACCAUUUGUAAAAAGAAAAAAAAACAACAACACAAAAAGAGGAAUAUACACAUAUAUAGACAUGACUGUGGAUUGGUUGAAUCGGUAGAGCAUCGGACGAAAUACCUUGCGGUAUUUAGUUACGGUUCUUUACUUACUGUUUUCAAAUCCCACCGAGGUUAACUUUGCCUUUCAUCCUUCGAGGGUGGAUAAAAUAAAGUACCAGUAAAAUACUAGGAUCGCAUAUAUAUAUAUAUAUAUAUAUAUAUAUAUAUAUAAAUAUAUAAUAUAUAUCGUGUGAAUGGAAUUAUUGUUAAAAACUAAGACUAACAACUUCAUUUAAUUCAUCCAUCUCUCAUUACAGAAAAGAAACAAAAAGACCAUAUAUAUGUAUGUAUGUAUAUAUAUAUACACAAAAAGAAAAAAUGAACAUCUUUCCUUCUUCGUCAAUAUUAACAACACAUUACACCACUGAAGGUAACUCUACGUGGUCGAUCGACCCUGCAAGAAAUAGCAGGCAACACUCUUCUCAGAUCACACCCUACCGUCUUACGGGGAAGGACACGUUGGAUAAUGCAGUCCUUCAUACCCCUACAAAAAGACGGGAUGGUCACAGUUGGAGUGCUCGAUACGGGUUGACCUGUGGCUAAACAACAUCAAGAAACUAAUCUUAUUUUUAUUAAAACUAUGAGGUUUCACAACCAUGUGAGAAAUUACUAUUAUUGUUGUUAUUACUAAUUUUUUAUUUUUGUUGUCGUUACUUUUCCUGUUAUUAAUUUAAAGAAUUGAUUUAGUGAUUAACUAAAUGUCUUGCAGUAUUUUAGUUUUACCAGUUAUUCUACGUUCUGUGCGAUUUCUACCCUUCGCCCUUCCGUUGGGGGGUGUUUCACUUAAAUAAUCAUCCUUCAUAUGACAACCCUCAAAAGGAAACACGCACCACAAUGACAAAUGCGAUUUCCAUUUAAUUUUCUAAAAUAAAAAUGAAACCCCAAUACUUCAAAUACAUAUGAUAGCAUUUUUUUUAAAAUAUAAAAUUUGUAAUUGCAUAAGCUAUUUAACAACAAAAAUGGUUUAAUCUAACUGUGACUCAGCCAGAUCUUUAUCGGAGAGGUGACGAUAAAGAAAAUUUUGCUUUUUAAUUCCCCAAAAGUGCACUUGAGUUGCCAAGCACAACUCCAAUAUUUGGCUCUUCCAAUUUUCCAG
Molecule: long non-coding RNA, 3209 nt
Filed under: Octopus vulgaris (common octopus)
Lineage: Eukaryota; Metazoa; Mollusca; Cephalopoda; Octopoda; Octopodidae
Source: RNAcentral